UACUAGAGUGCACGACGUGUCGACUAGUGGCGUAAGGUACGCAGCGGAUAGUAAAGUCAAGCGUGAAAGGUGUCGGCUUAACCGACAGACUGCGUUUGAAACUGAUUAUCUUGAGUGUAACAGAGGAGAGUGGGAAUUCCUAGUGUAGUGGUGAAAUACGUAGAUAUUAGGAAGAACACCAGUGGCGAAGGGCGACUCUCUGGGUUAACACUGACGCUGAGGUACGAAAGCUGGGGGAGCAAACGGGAUUAGAUACCCGGGGUAGU
This 266-nucleotide ribosomal RNA is filed under the name uncultured bacterium. RNAcentral's name for it is "partial 16S ribosomal RNA". The stretch from base 29 to 266 matches the Rfam family "Bacterial small subunit ribosomal RNA", at positions 557 to 794 of the family's 1533-position model. The record is from RNAcentral.